AGCGAACGCUGGCGGCAGGCUUAACACAUGCAAGUCGAGCGGACCUUUCGGGGUCAGCGGCGGACGGGUGAGUAACGCGUGGGGACGUGCCUUCCGGUUCGGAAUAACCCUGGGAAACUAGGGCUAAUACCGGAUACGCCCUUAUGGGGAAAGGUUUACUGCCGGAAGAUCGGCCCGCGUCUGAUUAGCUAGUUGGUGGGGUAACGGCCUACCAAGGCGACGAUCAGUAGCUGGUCUGAGAGGAUGAUCAGCCACACUGGGACUGAGACACGGCCCAGACUCCUACGGGAGGCAGCAGUGGGGAAUAUUGGACAAGGGGCGCAAGCCUGAUCCAGCCAUGCCGCGUGAGUGAUGAAGGCCUUAGGGUUGUAAAGCUCUUUUAUCCGGGACGAUAAUGACGGUACCGGAGGAAUAAGCCCCGGCUAACUUCGUG
Molecule: ribosomal RNA, 433 nt
Filed under: uncultured bacterium
Lineage: Bacteria
Description: partial 16S ribosomal RNA
Rfam family: Bacterial small subunit ribosomal RNA
Source: RNAcentral